This 23-nucleotide non-coding RNA is filed under the name Mus musculus (house mouse). RNAcentral also lists the same sequence under 1 other name. The record is from RNAcentral. Lineage: Eukaryota; Metazoa; Chordata; Mammalia; Rodentia; Muridae.
AUGGAGGUCUCUGUCUGACUUAG